UACGUAGGGUGCAAGCGUUAAUCGGAAUUACUGGGCGUAAAGCGUGCGCAGGCGGCUUUGCAAGACAGAUGUGAAAUCCCCGGGCUUAACCUGGGAACUGCAUUUGUGACUGCACGGCUAGAGUACGGCAGAGGGGGGUGGAAUUCCGCGUGUAGCAGUGAAAUGCGUAAAGAUGCGGAGGAACACCGAUGGCGAAGGCAGCCCCCUGGGCUGACACUGACGCUCAGGCACGAAAGCGUGGGGAGCAAACAGG
Molecule: ribosomal RNA, 253 nt
Filed under: uncultured bacterium
Lineage: Bacteria
Description: partial 16S ribosomal RNA
Rfam family: Bacterial small subunit ribosomal RNA
Source: RNAcentral